UAGGUAAGAAAACUGAGAACGAUUAGAGGUGACAAUACGAAACAAAGUGUACGGAGAAUUACGAGUUCCAUGAUAGACAUCAGUGUUGCAAAGAAAAUGAACUGGCUAGGGAGGGAUGAUAAUUAAGAGAGCGUUUUCCUCUUUCUCAUUGAAAGAUGUGUUGCUGAUAACUGUGAGAAACAAUGGAUGUUGCAAAGAUGCAAAAGACAAAGAUAUCGAAGAUGCUGACAAGGACUGCAUGGUUACGAUACUCUUGUGAUAGGGAUGGGGAUAGGAAGGAGAGGAAACAAAAAACGGCAGCAGAAUAGCUAGGAGACCAACCGAUGAAUGGCUUGAAAUGACUUUGAAUUUUUUGGUAUUUGGUGAAUUAUCAUUAUUACCCUUUGACUUUAAUUUAGUUUUUAAUUUUAAUUUUUGAUUUAGUGUUUUUAAUUCAUGUAAAUGAUUUAAUUAGUAAACCGUAUCAAAUUAUCUUA
Long non-coding RNA from Saccostrea cuccullata (small rock oyster), 476 nucleotides. RefSeq lists it as uncharacterized. The record is from RefSeq and is a predicted model, not a curated record. NCBI's taxonomy places the organism in Eukaryota, Metazoa, Mollusca, Bivalvia, Ostreida, Ostreidae. The transcript is spliced from 2 exons.